Molecule: ribosomal RNA, 252 nt
Filed under: uncultured bacterium
Lineage: Bacteria
Description: partial 16S ribosomal RNA
Rfam family: Bacterial small subunit ribosomal RNA
Source: RNAcentral
CGUGAGAUGUUGGGUUAAGUCCCGCAACGAGCGCAACCCUCGCCAUUAGUUGCCAUCAUUCAGUUGGGCACUCUAAUGGGACUGCCGGUGAUAAGCCGGAGGAAGGUGGGGAUGACGUCAAGUCCUCAUGGCCCUUACGGGUAGGGCUACACACGUGCUACAAUGGCGGUGACAGAGGGCAGCUACUUCGCAAGGAGAAGCUAAUCCCAAAAAGCCGUCUCAGUUCGGAUUGCACUCUGCAACUCGGGUGCA